Molecule: ribosomal RNA, 382 nt
Filed under: uncultured eukaryote
Lineage: Eukaryota
Description: partial 18S ribosomal RNA
Rfam family: Eukaryotic small subunit ribosomal RNA
Source: RNAcentral
CAAUAGCGUAUAUUAAAGUUGUUGCAGUUAAAAAGCUCGUAGUUGGAUUUCUGGCAGGAGCGUCCGGUCUCACACUCAGUGCGGGAACUUGGGUGUCUCUGGCCAUCUUUGGGGAUAUCCUGUUUGGCAUUAAGUUGUCGGGCAGGGGAUACCCAUCGUUUACUGUGAAAAAAUUAGAGUGUUUAAAGCAGGCUUAUGCCGUUGAAUAUAUUAGCAUGGAAUAAUAAGAUAGGACGUAGGUACUUUUUUGUUGGUUUGCGCACCCACGUAAUGAUUAAUAGAGACAGGCGGGGCUAUUCGUAUUGCAUUGUCAGAGGUGAAAUUCUUGGAUUUCUGCAAGACGAACUACUGCGAAAGCAUUUAGCAAGGAUGUUUUCAUUAA